GAGAUUAUGGCAACAAAACAGCUGGGGAGAGUUCAGUAAUAUAUAAUCACGUCUCUACUAUCAAAAUAAAACAAGUUCUCUCUUGAAAGGGGAUUUUCCUGUCUAAAGACCUGAGAACAGUUGUCUAGAAUUGGAGAAUCCUCUUUCCUGGACAGUGCUGGAGAUAGAAAAAUGGAGCCCUCUCCCCCUCCCUCUCUUCCAUUCCUUAUCAAUGGAGAAACUAUAGGCCAGAGAGAUUAACUAUCUGGUCCCAGGGUCACAAAGAACUGGAGCUUGAGUGCAGUUCUGCUGAUGCCAAAUCCAGCAUCCUUUUGACUAUCAUAUAGCUCUCUCCAUUAGAAGU
RNAcentral lists this long non-coding RNA (343 nucleotides) under Monodelphis domestica (gray short-tailed opossum). RNAcentral describes it as "lncRNA (ENSMODG00000045686.1)". Lineage: Eukaryota; Metazoa; Chordata; Mammalia; Didelphimorphia; Didelphidae. The record is from RNAcentral.